AGACUCAAUCAGCACGCUAACAUCUGCAGUGUGAUGCUGGAGUGCCUUGGUCCGUGAACAUACCAGCGUGUGCCCGAUGCCAAAAAAUUAACAACAACUUUUCAACAGAAAUUUCAAGUUCACUAUAAUUAUACUGGCACAGCUGACCAAGCGAUCUGCAAGACUGUGUAUGCUGACCUAAUCAAAAACAAGUUUACUGUCAAAACUCUGUUUGAUCAAUUUGGAAGUAUUUGCAACCUGGUAUCCGGCGCAUCCAUCUCAGCAGUGUCCGUAACUAACCCUGCUACCGAUGUUGUUAUUGAUGAUACAAGUAAACAGGUGUUUAUUGACUAUACCAUAUUAUAUAUUUGGACUAUCAAGUCAGCGCUAUCCACUUGUUCUUCACUACUUAAGACAACUUUAGAAACGACUGGAACUGAGCAGUCGAAUGUAAUGGAUGGUGACUUGAGUCCAAUUGGUUGUCCUGUACUAAGAGUGGUUUACCAAGCAAAACCAGAUGACUCGUCUGCAGUUGCGCUGGAGGUCUCCAAGAACUACGCGUGCCCUAGCGACAAGAAAAAUAUUCUGUUUAAAGGUUCUGAGAUGUGCUUGGAAUGUCCCGAGGGUACCUACAACAGCGGUGUCAGCACAUGUCAGCUGUGUCCAAUAGGAACGUACAAUAAUCGAUCUGGACAGACCGCCUGUUUGAACUGUGACCCUGGCUAUUAACUAUACUGUAUUUAGUCACGUAUUAUUAUGUUUAAGUGGAAUGUCCCGAGGGUACCUACAACAGCGGUGUCAGCACAUGUCAGCUGUGUCCAAUAGGAACGUACAAUAAUCGAUCUGGACAGACCGCCUGUUUGAACUGUGACCCUGGCACCAGUACAUACAGAGAGGGAAGUACAAACUCGUCACAUU
Gigantopelta aegis is the source of this 897-nucleotide long non-coding RNA. RefSeq lists it as uncharacterized. The record is from RefSeq and is a predicted model, not a curated record. The transcript is spliced from 4 exons. Lineage: Eukaryota; Metazoa; Mollusca; Gastropoda; Neomphalida; Peltospiridae.